UAAACCAACAAGGAGCUCUUCGAAGACAUUGCAUUUAAACGAGAACUGUUGUCCCUAACUGUGCACUGCAUCAACAAGGAAAUGGCUGUGAGUGGAAA
Long non-coding RNA from Priapulus caudatus, 98 nucleotides. RefSeq lists it as uncharacterized. The record is from RefSeq and is a predicted model, not a curated record. Lineage: Eukaryota; Metazoa; Priapulida; Priapulimorpha; Priapulimorphida; Priapulidae. The transcript has 3 exons.